GUGCCAGCAGCCGCGGUAAUACGGAGGGUGCAAGCGUUAUCCGGAAUCACUGGGUUUAAAGGGUGCGUAGGCGGCCCAAUAAGUCAGUCGUGAAAUCGCUGGGCUCAACCCAUGCAAUUGCGAUUGAUACUGUUGGACUUGAAUGGGGUUGAGGCUGGCGGAAUGCGACAUGUAGCGGUGAAAUGCUUAGAUAUGUCGCAGAACACCGAUUGCGAAGGCAGCCAGCUGGGCCUUUAUUGACGCUGAGGCACGAAAGCGUGGGGAGCAAACAGGAUUAGAUACCCCCGUAGUCC
RNAcentral lists this ribosomal RNA (293 nucleotides) under uncultured bacterium. RNAcentral describes it as "partial 16S ribosomal RNA". It matches the Rfam family "Bacterial small subunit ribosomal RNA", at positions 505 to 796 of the family's 1533-position model. The record is from RNAcentral.